AAAGUCGUAACAAGGUCUCCGUUGGUGAACCAGCGGAGGGAUCAUUACCGAGUUUACAACUCCCAAACCCCUGUGAACAUACCACUUGUUGCCUCGGCGGAUCAGCCCGCUCCCGGUAAAACGGGACGGCCCGCCAGAGGACCCCUAAACUCUGUUUCUAUAUGUAACUUCUGAGUAAAACCAUAAAUAAAUCAAAACUUUCAACAACGGAUCUCUUGGUUCUGGCAUCGAUGAAGAACGCAGCAAAAUGCGAUAAGUAAUGUGAAUUGCAGAAUUCAGUGAAUCAUCGAAUCUUUGAACGCACAUUGCGCCCGCCAGUAUUCUGGCGGGCAUGCCUGUUCGAGCGUCAUUUCAACCCUCAAGCACAGCUUGGUGUUGGGACUCGCGUUAAUUCGCGUUCCCCAAAUUGAUUGGCGGUCACGUCGAGCUUCCAUAGCGUAGUAGUAAAACCCUCGUUACUGGUAAUCGUCGCGGCCACGCCGUUAAACCCCAACUUCUGAAUGUUGACCUCGGAUCAGGUAGGAAUACCCGCUGAACUUAAGCAU
Molecule: ribosomal RNA, 545 nt
Filed under: Fusarium oxysporum
Lineage: Eukaryota; Fungi; Ascomycota; Sordariomycetes; Hypocreales; Nectriaceae
Description: eukaryotic LSU rRNA
Rfam family: 5.8S ribosomal RNA (bases 196-349)
Source: RNAcentral